GGUGGUGUCCAGGCCCAGCUUGUGCGCAUCUCGACUAUUCCACCGGGUACCUGCUACCUCCCACCAACACAGGUACCGGAUAACUGUGCCCACUAAGGCUCACCUAGUGUUUUUUGCAUGCGCUGGGGUUUGAACCUGAGACUCACGUUCUUCUCCCAUUCAUUGACCACUAGACCACACCCUUGUAUGCAAAUGGGAAGUCAUUCUCUAAGAUGGAUACUAACAGGGAAAGCCAUAAAAAGGAAACAGGAAGUCAUUCUCUAAAAUGG
RNAcentral lists this long non-coding RNA (269 nucleotides) under Nicotiana tabacum (common tobacco). Its description in RNAcentral is "long non-coding RNA (NTAB_LNC005288)". The record is from RNAcentral. Lineage: Eukaryota; Viridiplantae; Streptophyta; Magnoliopsida; Solanales; Solanaceae.